This 653-nucleotide ribosomal RNA is filed under the name uncultured archaeon. RNAcentral describes it as "bacterial SSU rRNA". It matches the Rfam family "Archaeal small subunit ribosomal RNA", at positions 163 to 814 of the family's 1478-position model. The record is from RNAcentral.
UGAGGUACUGGAAGGUCCUCAGGCCGAAAGGGGCUCUGCCCGCCCGAGGAUGGGCCGGCGGCCGAUUAGGUAGUUGGUGGGGUAACGGCCCACCAAGCCGAAGAUCGGUACGGGCCAUGAGAGUGGGAGCCCGGAGAUGGACACUGAGACACGGGUCCAGGCCCUACGGGGCGCAGCAGGCGCGAAACCUCCGCAAUGCGGGCAACCGCGACGGGGGGACCCCCAGUGCCGUGGCAACGCCACGGCUUUUCCGGAGUGUAAAAAGCUCCGGGAAUAAGGGCUGGGCAAGGCCGGUGGCAGCCGCCGCGGUAAUACCGGCGGCCCGAGUGGUGGCCGCUAUUAUUGGGCCUAAAGCGUCCGUAGCCGGGCCCGUAAGUCCCUGGCGAAAUCCCACGGCUCAACCGUGGGGCUUGCUGGGGAUACUGCGGGCCUUGGGACCGGGAGAGGCCGGGGGUACCCCUGGGGUAGGGGUGAAAUCCUAUAAUCCCAGGGGGACCGCCAGUGGCGAAGGCGCCCGGCUGGAACGGGUCCGACGGUGAGGGACGAAGGCCAGGGGAGCGAACCGGAUUAGAUACCCGGGUAGUCCUGGCUGUAAAGGAUGCGGGCUAGGUGUCGGGCGAGCUUCGAGCUCGCCCGGUGCCGAAGGGAAGCCG